This 748-nucleotide ribosomal RNA is filed under the name uncultured bacterium. Its description in RNAcentral is "bacterial SSU rRNA". It matches the Rfam family "Bacterial small subunit ribosomal RNA", at positions 28 to 776 of the family's 1533-position model. The record is from RNAcentral.
GAUGAACGCUGGCGGCGUGCUUAACACAUGCAAGUCGAACGAAGCGCUUAAACGGAUUUCUUCGGAUUGAAGUUUUUGCGACUGAGUGGCGGACGGGUGAGUAACGCGUGGGUAACCUGCCUCAUACAGGGGGAUAACAGUUAGAAAUGACUGCUAAUACCGCAUAAGCGCACAGUGCUGCAUGGCACAGUGUGAAAAACUCCGGUGGUAUGAAAUGGACCCGCGUCUGAUUAGCUAGUUGGUGGGGUAACGGCCUACCAAGGCGACGAUCAGUAGCCGGCCUGAGAGGGUGAACGGCCACAUUGGGACUGAGACACGGCCCAAACUCCUACGGGAGGCAGCAGUGGGGAAUAUUGCACAAUGGGGGAAACCCUGAUGCAGCGACGCCGCGUGAGCGAAGAAGUAUUUCGGUAUGUAAAGCUCUAUCAGCAGGGAAGAAAAUGACGGUACCUGACUAAGAAGCACCGGCUAAAUACGUGCCAGCAGCCGCGGUAAUACGUAUGGUGCAAGCGUUAUCCGGAUUUACUGGGUGUAAAGGGAGCGUAGACGGUUGUGUAAGUCUGAUGUGAAAGCCCGGGGCUCAACCCCGGGACUGCAUUGGAAACUAUGUAACUAGAGUGUCGGAGAGGUAAGCGGAAUUCCUAGUGUAGCGGUGAAAUGCGUAGAUAUUAGGAGGAACACCAGUGGCGAAGGCGGCUUACUGGACGAUCACUGACGUUGAGGCUCGAAAGCGUGGGGAGCANACAGG